RNAcentral lists this ribosomal RNA (349 nucleotides) under uncultured bacterium. RNAcentral describes it as "bacterial SSU rRNA". It matches the Rfam family "Bacterial small subunit ribosomal RNA", at positions 917 to 1267 of the family's 1533-position model. The record is from RNAcentral.
GGGCCCGCACAAGCGGUGGAGUAUGUGGUUUAAUUCGAUGCAACGCGAAGAACCUUACCAGGGUUUGACAUCCUGCGAAUCUCUUGGAAACAGGAGAGUGCCUUCGGGAACGCAGUGACAGGUGGUGCAUGGCUGUCGUCAGCUCGUGUCGUGAGAUGUUGGGUUAAGUCCCGCAACGAGCGCAACCCACGUCUUUAGUUGCCAGCAUUUAGUUGGGCACUCUAGAGAGACUGCCGGUGAUAAACCGGAGGAAGGUGUGGAUGACGUCAAGUCAUCAUGCCCCUUACAUCCUGGGCUACACACGUACUACAAUGCUACGGACAAAGGGCAGCAAGUUCGCGAGGACAAG